GACGAACGCUGGCGGCGUGCUUAACACAUGCAAGUCGAACGGAAAGGCCCUGCUUUUGUGGGGGGCUCGAGUGGCGAACGGGUGAGUAACACGUGAGUAACCUGCCCUUGACUUUGGGAUAACUUCAGGAAACUGGGGCUAAUACCGGAUAGGAGCUCCUGCUGCAUGGUGGGGGUUGGAAAGUUUCGGCGGUUGGGGAUGGACUCGCGGCUUAUCAGCUUGUUGGUGGGGUAGUGGCUUACCAAGGCUUUGACGGGUAGCCGGCCUGAGAGGGUGACCGGCCACAUUGGGACUGGGAUACGGCCCAGACUCCUACGGGAGGCAGCAGUGGGGAAUAUUGCACAAUGGGCGGAAGCCUGAUGCAGCAACGCCGCGUGCGGGAUGACGGCCUUCGGGUUGUAAACCGCUUUCGCCUGUGACGAAGCGUGAGUGACGGUAAUGGGUAAAGAAGCACCGGCUAACUACGUG
RNAcentral lists this ribosomal RNA (468 nucleotides) under uncultured bacterium. RNAcentral describes it as "partial 16S ribosomal RNA". It matches the Rfam family "Bacterial small subunit ribosomal RNA", at positions 28 to 507 of the family's 1533-position model. The record is from RNAcentral.